This 393-nucleotide ribosomal RNA is filed under the name uncultured bacterium. Its description in RNAcentral is "bacterial SSU rRNA". It matches the Rfam family "Bacterial small subunit ribosomal RNA", at positions 355 to 765 of the family's 1533-position model. The record is from RNAcentral.
UGGGGAAUCUUGCACAAUGGGGGAAACCCUGAUGCAGCGACGCCGCGUGAACGAUGAAGCCCUUCGGGGUGUAAAGUUCUUUCGACAGGAACGAUAAUGACGGUACCUGGAGAAGAAGCUGCGGCUAACUACGUGCCAGCAGCCGCGGUAAUACGUAGGCAGCGAGCGUUGUUCGGAGUUACUGGGCGUAAAGAGUGCGUAGGCGGCGAGCCAAGUUUGGUGUGAAAUCUCCCGGCUUAACCGGGAGGGUGCGCCGAAAACUGGUUGGCUGGAGUAUGGGAGAGGAAAGCGGAAUUCCUGGUGUAGCGGUGAAAUGCGUAGAUAUCAGGAGGAACACCUGCGGUGUAGACGGCUUUCUGGACCAAAACUGACGCUGAGGCACGAAAGCGUGGG